UACAGAGGGUGCGAGCGUUGUCCGGAAUCACUGGGCGUAAAGGGCGCGUAGGCGGCUCGGUCAGCGUGCGGUGAAAGCCCGGGGCUCAACCCCGGGUCGGCCGUGCGAACUGCUGGGCUGGAGCACUGUAGAGGCAGGCGGAAUUCCGGGUGUAGCGGUGGAAUGCGUAGAGAUCCGGAAGAACACCGGUGGCGAAGGCGGCCUGCUGGGCAGUAGCUGACGCUGAUGCGCGACAGCGUGGGGAGCAAACAGG
Molecule: ribosomal RNA, 253 nt
Filed under: uncultured bacterium
Lineage: Bacteria
Description: partial 16S ribosomal RNA
Rfam family: Bacterial small subunit ribosomal RNA
Source: RNAcentral